UUUGUUGCUUCCUGCGAAUAACAUCAGAAAGCGCUACCCCGCUAAACCUAAUCGUCUCCUUUGUUCAUCUGAUCUUGACUUCGGCGGUGAGAAUGACGAUCGAUCGUUCUCCUUCUCCCUGUAACAGAACUCGACUUUAAUGGCAUUAAUACAGACGCCCAGUACGAGCCCUUCAAUGCGUCGUUCCGGCGGCGAGAUCUCUGCUAUAAAUAGGGUGUUUUUUUUCUCUGAUUUGAAGGUCGGGAAGUGUUCAUCGGUUGUCGAGGCUAGGCACUAUAGGUUUUUUUCUCUGGGCCGCGAUCAGACUAAGCUGUUCUUCCACUUCUCUAAGAAUGAAUCAUGUAAGGAUUGCUCUUGCUCCGCGUUUCGUAUUUGAAUAUAAUUUUUUUUUCCUGUAAUGGCAUCGCUACAAGUUCUAUAUCCAGCUUUGAUUUUGUUUCAUGAGUCAAUUUAUAUGGAUUGAGAAGGGAAACACAAGGAUUUAAUAUGUUGGUUAUUGAUUGUUUAAAUUAGAAAUACAAACAGGCGUUCUCUUCCAUCUCUUAUGUGCAGUACAAGAAAGACCUUGGAAUCUCACAGUAACUUAUCUUUCUCACUUCUUCAGUUUGAGAGAUAGGAUACACUUAAGAGGAUAUUCUAGAAACGUAUACCAUGUGAAGGAGAAGAUUCUGUAAAUUGCAACUUUUUUUAACUCUUUGAAAGAGUUGCAGAUAUUGAGACUGAUUACUGGUUAGAGAUCUAGGACGACGAGCACCAAAUCCCCACGAAAGAUGUUUUCUCUACAUAGCCGAAUAUGAAAAAAACUUUGUACUUAUUCUCUUUCUUAAUUUUCCAAAUGAGCUAUAAAUUUUCUGGGUUUGUUUGUUGUUCUAAAUAGUUGUAUCAUUUCGUAA
This is a long non-coding RNA of Brassica oleracea var. oleracea, 893 nucleotides long. RefSeq lists it as uncharacterized. The transcript is spliced from 4 exons. The record is from RefSeq and is a predicted model, not a curated record. NCBI's taxonomy places the organism in Eukaryota, Viridiplantae, Streptophyta, Magnoliopsida, Brassicales, Brassicaceae.